GAUGAACGCUGGCGGCGUGCCUAAUACAUGCAAGUCGAGCGAACGGACGAGAAGCUUGCUUCUCUGAUGUUAGCGGCGGACGGGUGAGUAACACGUGGAUAACCUACCUAUAAGACUGGGAUAACUUCGGGAAACCGUAGCUAAUACCGGAUAAUAUUUUGAACCGCAUGGUUCAAAAGUGAAAGACGGUCUUUCUGUCACUUAUAGAUGGAUCCGCGCUGCAUUAGCUAGUUGGUAAGGUAACGGCUUACCAAGGCAACGAUGCAUAGCCGACCUGAGAGGGUGAUCGGCCACACUGGAACUGAGACACGGUCCAGACUCCUACGGGAGGCAGCAGUAGGGAAUCUUCCGCAAUGGGCGAAAGCCUGACGAAGCAACGCCGCGUGAGUGAUGAAGGUCUUCGGAUCGUAAAACUCUGUUAUUAGGGAAGAACAUAUGUGUAAGUAACUGUGCACAUCUUGACGGUACCUAAUCAGAAAGCCACGGCUAACUACGUG
Molecule: ribosomal RNA, 497 nt
Filed under: uncultured bacterium
Lineage: Bacteria
Description: partial 16S ribosomal RNA
Rfam family: Bacterial small subunit ribosomal RNA
Source: RNAcentral